CUUUGGGAUAACCCUCGGAAACGGGGGCUAAUACCGAAUGUUCACUCACGGGCGCAUGUUUGUGGGUGGAAAGUUUUUCGGCUUGGGAUGGGCUCGCGGCCUAUCAGCUUGUUGGUGGGGUAAUGGCCUACCAAGGCGGCGACGGGUAGCCGGCCUGAGAGGGCGACCGGCCACACUGGGACUGAGACACGGCCCAGACUCCUACGGGAGGCAGCAGUGGGGAAUAUUGCACAAUGGGCGGAAGCCUGAUGCAGCGACGCCGCGUGAGGGAUGACGGCCUUCGGGUUGUAAACCUCUUUCAGCAGGGACGAAGCGCAAGUGACGGUACCUGCAGAAGAAGCGCCGGCCAACUACGUGCCAGCAGCCGCGGUAAGACGUAGGGCGCGAGCGUUGUCCGGAUUUAUUGGGCGUAAAGAGCUCGUAGGCGGCUUGUCGCGUCGACUGUGAAAACCCGUGGCUCAACUGCGGGCCUGCAGUCGAUACGGGCAGGCUAGAGUUCGGUAGGGGAGACUGGAAUUCCUGGUGUAGCGGUGAAAUGCGCAGAUAUCAGGAGGAACACCGGCGGCGAAGGCGGGUCUCUGGGCCGAUACUGACGCUGAGGAGCGAAAGCGUGGGGAGCGAACAGGAUUAGAUACCCUGGUAGUCCACGCUGUAAACGUUGGGCGC
RNAcentral lists this ribosomal RNA (666 nucleotides) under uncultured Micromonosporaceae bacterium. RNAcentral describes it as "bacterial SSU rRNA". It matches the Rfam family "Bacterial small subunit ribosomal RNA", at positions 136 to 816 of the family's 1533-position model. Lineage: Bacteria; Bacillati; Actinomycetota; Actinomycetes; Micromonosporales; Micromonosporaceae. The record is from RNAcentral.